This is a long non-coding RNA of Chiroxiphia lanceolata (lance-tailed manakin), 695 nucleotides long. RefSeq lists it as uncharacterized. The record is from RefSeq and is a predicted model, not a curated record. The transcript has 4 exons. NCBI's taxonomy places the organism in Eukaryota, Metazoa, Chordata, Aves, Passeriformes, Pipridae.
AGGGAGUGAGAUGCUCUUCCAUUCCCUUCAUAGGGAAUAAAGGUGCCCGUCAGGGAAAAAACUCAUCACGGGAGGGAUAUUCUCCAUCUCCCUCAGGAGAAUAAAGGGACACACGGACUUGGACCAGGCCGAGUCGCUGCCAGGGCCGACGUUUGCAGAGGCAUCAGAGCCAGAAGGAACUGGACUGCAGCCACCUCAGAGAGGUGAGACAGCUCACCCCUGGACAGGAAGGUGAAGUCCCUCUUGUAACGUGAAUAAAGAACCGAAAAUUCCACAACAAUUCUUGAAGAUUUCUUCCCUGCUGCAGCGUCUGCUCUGAGGUGACCAAAAUCCCCCAUCAACCUUCAGGGAAUUUUCUGAGAAAACCGGUAUUUACAAUAUUACUGAGUUCCAAAUUAUCCCUGUUCCCACGAAGGCCUGAUGAGUGACCAGCGUUUUAAUUAGAAUUAGAGCACCAGGUACAACAGCCAACAAGGCACACGCGAGGUAUCGUUUGCUGCACACUGUCACUGCACUCUGGGCGCGGUAAAAUGGGGGAUAACGGGAAUUUUCCCUCACCGGGGAUCAUCUUUAGAAAAACUGAAUGCGUAAACCCAGCCUCGACUGUGCUGUGACACUGUGACAGAGGCAUUAUAACAGCUGGGAGUCUCCGGGGGGCGCGGGGCCAUAUCCCAUCGCAUCCCGGUUAUCCCCAA